CCAUGACUGAAGCCAAGCGAAGGUUCCUGCGACCUGCUGCACCAGCUGUCUGCAGACUCCACCCGAGUGACCCGGCCCCAAGCCCUCCACGACCCUUUUAACUGGACCAGACCCGCCAAAGGCACAGAGACAAGUCACUGUCCCCAGUCUGCAGUCACCUUGGAUUCUGGAAAGAACAAAGCCUCACAGGACAGCCCCUCCCCCACGUGAGGGCAACUGUUCCUGAGGUGAGUCUGUAACCCCGGGAGCGGGAGUGACCCUCUCCUGAGAACCUGCCUGUCCCCUUACGCAACGGGACUUCUUUUGGACCAUUCUGCAGGGCCGCCUGUUCAAGUAUGCGUACCUCUCGCUAUCUGCCCCAAUUCUUCCAAUAUUUAAGCUUAAAAUGCAUGGUGGCUCAUGCCUGUAAUACCAGCCCUUGGGAGGCUGAGGCAGGAGGAUUAGGAAUUCAAGGCCACCAUUGGCUACAUGAGACCCUGGCUAAAAAAUAAACAAAUAAACAAACAAACAAACAAAUAAAUAAAUAAGGGGGCUGGAGAGAUGGCUCAGAGGUUAGGAACACCGACUGCUCUUCCAGAGGUCCUGAGUUCAAUUCCCAGCAACCACAUGGCGGCUCACAACCAUCUGUAAUGAGAUCUGGCGCCCUCUUCUGUAUACAUAAUAAAUAAAUAAAUCUUUAAAAAAUAUAUAAAUAAAUAAAUAAAUAAAAUAAAAUAAAAAUAAAAAUUAAUGCAAGCUGGGCAGUGGUGGCAAGACCUUUAAUCCCAGCACCCAGCAUGCAGAAGCAGGCAGAUCUCUGUGAGUUCAAAGCCAGCCUGGUUUACAGAGCAAGUUCCAGGACAGCCUGGACUACACAGAGAAACCCUGUCUCAAAAAAUAAAUAUAUAUCUAAAACAUUGACCGAGCCAGGCAGUGGUGGCGCACGCCUUGAAUCCCAGCACUCGGGAGGCAGAGGCGGGUGGAUCUCUGUGAGUUUGAGGCCAGCUUGGUCUACAAAGUGAGUUCCAGGAAAGGUGCAAAACUACACAGAGAAACCCUGUCUCGAAAAGCCAAAAAAAUAAAAAAUAUAUAAAUAAAACAUUGACAGCUAAUACAGCAACAACUGCCCCCUCCUCAAAAACCAACACACAUUAGCACCCUAAAAAAAGACUUGGGGUUGCUGGAUCCCUUUAUCUGUUCCCCUUCCCAGUGUGGCCACAUUGACUAAAUCUGUGUGUUUUACCAUUACCCUCUUAGCCUCUUUUGAGAGAGUCUCAUGCAGCGCAGCCUGGCCUCGAACUUGCUAUGCCUUAAACCUCUGAUCUUCCUGUUCCUGCUUCUUAAAUACUGGGAUUACAGGCCUGUGACAUCAUUCCUGGUCUAUGCCUUGUUGGGGAUUGACCGCAGGCCUUUGUCCAUGCUAAGCAAGCAGCAUUCUACCCCCUACUUAUCUCUUUAAUUGAUAUAGAGGCCAAGCCCCGCCUGUCGGCUGCCAGAGCUCCCUCUAAUACCCUAAAAUCUCUGGUUAGUUAGAGGGGUUCUCAGUUCACACUGGGGAAUCGGAUGGGGAGGGCAUGGAGAGUAUAGGGAGUCCAUGUUGCCAUUCCCCUUUUGAAACUGUCCUCUUGGAAGAGGAAUGCAGAUGUGGAAUCAUGAGUCAGCCACAUCUGGAGGCCAGGCCAGGAUUCUGCCUUGCCCUCCCAGGCUCAAUCUCUAGCUCCUUCUUCCAGACGAGGAAAGCGCACCCAGGAUGGGAGGAGAGAGAUGCUGUCAGAUCUGGAGUGAGGCUGGGCUGCCUAUCAGUCCCCAGCCCCGCCUUCAGGCAGCUACCAGGAAAACUAACCACAGAAGCUUCAAUCUUUCCUGUGGGGCCUCCCCAGCCUUCAGUCACAGAGAGGGACUGUCAGGGCCCCACCCAGGUCCUUGACUCUUUCCGUGUGUGCCCCUCUGCCACAUCAGGAACUGGGCACAUCAGGCAGAAUUCCAGGUAGAGGACCAGAGAUGAGGCAGGCAAUUGCCAGGCCAACCCAGGUGCUGGGAACACAGAUCUCUAGGAGCUGUCCCUGCCAGGUCAUGACUGGAUAGGAAGACCUGCACCAGGAAGUGAGUGGGGAGGACCCUUCUAGCCAGUCUGCACAGGCAGGCCAUGGAGGAACAUGGUAUGAGGAUCAGACUCCUAACUGGGAGCUGGGGACUCAGCUUCUGCUUCUAGCCUGCAUAUUCAGUGUCUCUAUUUGUAACUGUGCCUGAAGUCCUGCUUUCCUGCCUGAGGGUAAUGUAGGGCAGGACUCAGGUCAUAGGUGACCUUUUUUUAAAAAAAAUGGAGCUCAUGGGGGUUUUGAGACCAUCUCACUCUGUAGCCCAGGCUGACCUGGAAUUUACUAUGUAACCCAGGCUGGUCUGGAACUUGAAGCAGUCCUGCCCAGGAUAACAGGUGUGAGUCAUUAUGCCUAGCUGAGUUUAGGUUUUAUAGUCCCCUUGUCCCCUCUUCCAAGGUUACCUUCCUCGCCCACCUAUGUUGUAGUGUGGAUUUGCCAGAUGCUAGUAUCCCCUGUAACAGGCACUAUGGUUUUUAAGGCAGGGCGGACAGAGAUAAAGUCCCUUCUGUGCCCUCCCUGAAGUCCUCAGGGCCUCGUGGGGGUGGCACCCACUUAUCUGUCGGGCCUAAUGCCCGGCGCCUUGCUUUCAUAGCCUAUCUCAUCUGAGCAUAUCAUCUCACCCUAGUGUCUGCCCACCUGGUGAACUUGUGCCCAGGGAACAGCAGCUGUGGCCAGAUCCCAAGCAGAGGCAGGAGGAGCAGGGGAAAGAUGGAUCUGGGGGCUGCAGCCCAGGGCCUUGGCUGUUCUGAAUAACGUUCAGACCCUGGAAAGUAGCAAUGAUGUCAAUCAUUCCUGGCUGAGUUGAGGGUUGCAGGUAUUGAGGAUAUGUUUUCUCCCUCCUCCUUCCCCAAGGCCAAAGCCCGGCCCUGGAGAUUCUCCCUCAGAUCAAGUCCCGCAGCUGCCAGCAGAGCCCUCUGGAAUUCUGUCCUGCAGCUUAGCCCUUGGAUCUGGCCUUAGCUUGUCCAUACAGGUCCCAGCCAGCAAGGCCCUUCCCGGCCCUCCAGCUCCUCCCCAGCCCUGACGCGGUCUGUACCGCCUUCAGCCAGCACUGGCAGCGAGCCAUGGAGCACAUGGGUACCAUCCACGGCACCCACCAAGCUGGCUCCCACAUGGAGUCCUUGAAGACAGAGCAGGGAGGGACCCCAGAGAGCCAUGCCUGACCUGCUCCCCCACAUCUUAUAUUGCAGGUUAAGGAUGUGGAAACUAGAGGGAGGGCGCCUGGCUGUGCUCUCACAGGGAGCUGGAGCUGAGGAAAACAGCGUGGGCCCAGGGACCUCAAAAACGGCUUCAUGAAGGGCAGAAGGGUGUGUGGGGGGGUGCCUCCAACUCCUGACACCCUCUGCUAGCUUGUGCUGGUACCCUCCCCCACUGCACCUCCUUGGGGCCGCCCCCUGUGCCAGCUUUCCAGGCAGCCACCUUCUCAUCCAGUUUGGUCCCCAUCUGGGGUCGGUCCUCUUCUGCUCAGAAGCCCCAGCCUCCAGGGCUCAGGCCUAAGCUUUAGCGUAUUACUCCGAAAUCAUUGUAUUUCAAUUUUCUCUUGGCUGUGACAAAGCUAUCCAACAAAAGCAAUGUGAGGGGCUUGUUUUGGCUUAUGGUUGAAGUUACCAUCCAUCCUAUCAAGAAAGGCAUAGUGGGAGGAGUGGGAGGCAGCUGGUCACGUUGUGUCUGCACUCGGGGAGAGAGAGAUGAAUGCUGGUAUUCACCUCACUUUCUCCUUUUUUCCCGAGCCCCUAGGAUGGUGCUACUCACAUUCAGGAUGGGACUUGCUUCGUCAGUUAAGACUUCUCUUGAAACAUCCUCACAGGCACGCCCUGUCGUCUCGAUGUGUCGCCUAGGUGCUUUUAAGUCCAGUCAAGUGGACAGUGAAAAGGAACCACCACAAUCCAUUUCUCGUCAACCUGAUACUCAAAUGCUCCACUUCAAUACACAACACACUUCACCUCUGGCCCCAAAGUCUCAAAUUUAUCUCUUAUCACAAAAGACAUUUAAUCCAUCUCUGGAAGUCCAAACAGUUCUAACACUGUUUGAAAAAAGCCCCAAGUCCAAAAUCUCUCCUGAGACUCAAGACAACGUUAGCCAUGAACUCUUAGAAAAACUAAAAAGCAAGUUGCUUCCAGUAUACAGUGGUAAACAUUCCCAUCCCCACAGGGAAGGAUGGGAUCAGAUACAAACAAGCCUGAAACCCAUUGAUACUGACCCUGAAGCUUCCUGCCAGGUAUCUGGCAAACCCCGGCCUCUAACACCCUCCAGCAGCCCCACCCACUCCAAUUCUGCGGCCUGCAGCUUUUCUCAGCUGGUUAACUCAGCCUCAAUCUCAUAGCUUCAAGUAAUAAUGGCCUCGUAGGGCCUCCCGACUGGGACUCCAACCCUGCUGCUACACAUUGCCUGGCCUGGCAGUUUCCUGGAACCUCCAUGACCUGGAGACUUGCAGUUUGUGUGCUUGAAAAACUAGCCCCUUGCGGAUAUGCUGCCUAGUUCUGCUGACAGCUUGAUGCAUGGUCUGGGCCCCUUGGCCACAGGCGUAUUGUGUUCUGUGUGCCCUGGUGGUGUUUGAGCAGGGGAUCCUCCAGCAGUCUCAGUUGGACCGCUUUCAAGACUGCAUUUUUUUUUUUUCUUUUUGGUUGUCCUGAAACUCCCUCUGUAGACCAGGUUGGCCUCAAACUCAGAAAUCUGCCUGCCCCUCUGUCUCCUGAGUGUUGGGACUAAAAGUGUGGGCCACCACCACCUGGUUCAAGACUUCAUUUUCACAAGGCGAGUGUCCUUCAGAGGUUGCAGUCUCGAUCCCAAGGGAUCUUUCCUCUUGUCUCAGGCAUAGUACUGUUUCUCUGUCAUGGCACUAACUUCCUGAACCAUUAUAACUGUUUUCUUUCUACCCAGCUUCUCUGCAACCUUCUGCUCUUACUCACUUGAGAUCUAAGAACGGUGAGCCACAACCAUGCCACAGCUUGGAUGUUGAGCUGUAUUGAAAAUUCUGAACAAACUAGUCCAUUG
Molecule: long non-coding RNA, 5069 nt
Organism: Peromyscus californicus insignis
Lineage: Eukaryota; Metazoa; Chordata; Mammalia; Rodentia; Cricetidae
Exons: 2
Source: RefSeq, a predicted model, not a curated record